UACAGAGGGGGCAAGCGUUGUUCGGAUUCACUGGGCGUAAAGGGUGCGUAGGCGGUCGGGUAAGUCUGAUGUGAAAUCUCACAGCUUAACUGUGAAACUGCAUUGGAUACUAUCCGGCUCGAGGAAUGGAGGGGAGACUGGAAUACUUGGUGUAGCAGUGAAAUGCGUAGAUAUCAAGUGGAACACCAGUGGCGAAGGCGAGUCUCUGGACAUUUCCUGACGCUGAGGCACGAAAGCCAGGGGAGCAAACGGG
This 253-nucleotide ribosomal RNA is filed under the name uncultured bacterium. RNAcentral's name for it is "partial 16S ribosomal RNA". It matches the Rfam family "Bacterial small subunit ribosomal RNA", at positions 524 to 776 of the family's 1533-position model. The record is from RNAcentral.